GUACCCUUAGCUUAGUUGGUCAGAGCCAUCGGCUCAUAACCGAUAGGUCGUAGGUUCGAAUCCUACAGGGUACA
Molecule: transfer RNA, 74 nt
Filed under: Virgibacillus profundi
Lineage: Bacteria; Bacillati; Bacillota; Bacilli; Caryophanales; Bacillaceae
Description: tRNA-Met
Rfam family: tRNA
About the family: Transfer RNA (tRNA) molecules are approximately 80 nucleotides in length. Their secondary structure includes four short double-helical elements and three loops (D, anti-codon, and T loops).
Source: RNAcentral